GUUAACUUAAAAUUGCAACGCAACAGUUGGGGAAUGUAGUGAGGGAAGCAAUAUUUUUUGCUUUAACUGAUGUUUUAACCAAUAUUUUAAAGUGCAUCUUGUUUUUAUUUCAAGUUCGCGGUCUGGAUUAAGUCUUUUGGAUCGUCAGAGGUGCGUUUGAUUGUGGCAACUAACAAUUACCUUCACAACGAGGAAAAACCAAGAAGAUUCUGUUCUCCAUGCCAGAAGAUGGAUGCUUACAAUGGAGGGCAGAGUCAUCAUUGAGUCACAAGACCUAACUGAUUUUCAGUCCGCAUUAGCUGUCUUGUUUGGCUGCUACUACGCUUUCAAUGUUUAGUACCAAGAAGAGGCAGCUGCGACUCUGGAGUUCCUGCAGAGAUUCAUUCUCCCCGAAUAAACCCUGAUGGGACAAAAUGCCAGUCAAAGACACUGAUCAGCCGUACCUCUGGGAAGAAGGUGCAAUGAAAAAGUUCUGGCCAGAAUCCUCAUGGUGUGACUUUAAUAAAAGAGCUUGUUGACUUUGAUUGGCAGAAUUAAAAAAAAAUGACCAACGACCGAGUUAAGUAUUGUUAAUGUGUAAUGUGGAAAGUGUUAGUUUGAAUGGCUUGUUCUGCUUUUUAAAAUGUAGCCAAAAUGUAAUUUGUUCUUCAAGUAAAUUGUUGCCCUUUAUAGGGAUAGUUCACCAAAAAAUGAAGAUUCUGUCAACAUUUACUCACUCUGAUGAACAUUAAGGAAGAUAUUUUGAGGAAUGUUUGUAACCAAGGCAUUCGUGAGACACAUUUACAUAGUAUUCUUUAAUCCUACUAUGAAAGGUUGAUGAUUGGUUUGGUCACAAACAUUCCUCAAAAUAUCUUCACAAAGAACAAAGAAAUUGAUUUAGGUUUGAAACAACAUGAGAAGUAAAUGAACAGAAUUUUCAUUUUUGGGUGAACUAUCCCUUUAAGUAAA
This is a non-coding RNA of Misgurnus anguillicaudatus (oriental weatherfish), 948 nucleotides long. NCBI's taxonomy places the organism in Eukaryota, Metazoa, Chordata, Actinopteri, Cypriniformes, Cobitidae. The record is from RefSeq and is a predicted model, not a curated record.